This 394-nucleotide ribosomal RNA is filed under the name uncultured Chrysophyceae. Its description in RNAcentral is "partial small subunit ribosomal RNA". It matches the Rfam family "Eukaryotic small subunit ribosomal RNA", at positions 30 to 432 of the family's 1831-position model. The record is from RNAcentral. Lineage: Eukaryota; Chrysophyceae.
GCUUGUCUCAAAGAUUAAGCCAUGCAUGUGUUAGUAUAAACGCCUUUAUACUGUGAAACUGCGAACGGCUCAUUAUAUCAGUUAUAGUUUAUUUGAUACUUUUCGACUAUUGGAUAACCGUAGUAAUUCUAGAGCUAAUACAUGCGUCAAAACCCGACUCCUGGGAGGGUUGUAUUUAUUAGAUGGAAACCAAUGCGGGGCAACCCGGUAUAUGGUGAUUCAUAAUAACUUUCGGAUCGAUCUUCGGAUCGAUGCAUCAUUCAAGUUUCUGCCCUAUCAGCUUUGGAUGGUAGGGUAUUGGCCUACCAUGGCUUUAACGGGUAACGGAGAAUUAGGGUUCGAUUCCGGAGAGGGAGCCUGAGAAAUGGCUACCACAUCCAAGGAAGGCAGCAGG